Long non-coding RNA from Acanthochromis polyacanthus (spiny chromis), 4703 nucleotides. RefSeq lists it as uncharacterized. The transcript has 4 exons. The record is from RefSeq and is a predicted model, not a curated record. NCBI's taxonomy places the organism in Eukaryota, Metazoa, Chordata, Actinopteri, Pomacentridae.
ACCAGAACCGAAAGGAUUCUGAACCUAGUCUUCUUAUCUUUUAUUUUCCAAUCACCUUAGAUUUCUUGCGCACUUGGCACAGAUGCGUCACCAUAAUGUGCUGUGAAAAAGGACCCAAACUUGAGGUAUCGAUGGAUUCUUCGACACGAGCUCAUCUCCUGAGCAGAUUUAAGAACGGCUCCAUCACAUGACGGAGGACGUGGCUCAGAGACGCUCAUCAGUCUGCAGAGGACGAUCUACGGGUCCGUUUCUCAACAUAAUGCAACGAACAGCGAGAGGUGACGCAGGCUGUGUGGCAGCUUGGACACUUCUGGACCCCAGAGGCUGACAAAGUCCAGACAAUAACUGCACUAAUGAAGGUGAACACACAACAAUGAAGUGUCUUCCGGAGUCCUACAAUGUUUGAGAGUACUAAAAUAAGCCCUCUGAGCUGAGAGCCCAGCCAGCUGCCUUCCUGCCCCGCUCUGGCUCCCCCUAGCCGUGCCUCCAUAUUUCCUUGUUAGUGCACACCAUAAUGGCCUGGCCCUCCCUGUUCAAUUACACCUAAAAGACACCAAAAUACACCUGAAAACAUCCAUUUCUCCGUCUAAAUGUGGAGUAAACCGCCUCCAUGUGCCUCCCAGCCAACGUUAGAGUCCACAGGCCACAGCAGAACAGAGGAUUUCUUACCUUUUUCUCAGUGGAUCUGACUACACCUCCCUCUCCAAAGUCCCAACUUCGACAGCCUCCUUCUUCUUCCCAGCAAUCCCUGCAAAAAGGACACUUCCAUGUAUGUUGAAAAUGUAGGGGUGAACCAAAUGGACAAAACCAUUUCUAAAGAGCCCAGAGAGCCCCCAAUAUCCAAAAAUGGCCUUUUGGGGCCCAAAUAGACAUAGCCUCCAAUAUUCCAUUAUAAAAUGCCAUAUCUGAGGCCUUAAAUAGCAAAAUCCCCUCAUCAUAUAGACUCUCUCCUACCCCGGUGAUUUCAACUUCUUCUGGUCCAUUCUCCAGUCGUACAGUUCGUACUGAAGCGCAAUUGUCAGGGAGUGCGCAACUGAACUCUGCCGGCUUUCUGCUGCGUUUUAUGCGUUUGCCAAGCCCCGGAGCAUCUCUGAGAGGCUACAAAUGCUCCAUUGAUGGGAUUAUAGUGUCAAAGAGACAUUUUUCUUGUGGAUUCGACCAAAAAAAGUCGAAGGAAAAUAUUUUCAUGCGGGUAAAAUCCAGCGGUGCCAACAGUGAGCUGCGUAUCCAAAUGGACCUCUCCAAAAGUGCACAGGUGCAUCCAAAGGCAAAGAGAGCUCUCCAAAGGCUCCAGGAGGAAAAAAUACAACUUUACUCAGCUUAAAUGGUAAAUAUAUUAAUAAUGCAGUCUAAAAUUUACAAAUUAUGCUCGAAAAAUAAAGGUUGCGCUCAAAAAAUCUUGAAUAUGAGGUCCACUAGAGAGCAAAGUGCAGCGAGAAAAGCGUUCCAAAUGGCGCAAUGGCACUGCAGACAUUUAAGCUGAUUAUUUAAUUAUUUAAAAAUACUUUUUGCUGAAAUGCACAUCUGUUAAUAGUAUCAAAGCUGUAGCACAGACUGUAAAUUGAAAUUACCAUCCAUGUGGCCAACAAUAGCUGUGAAACGGACAAAAAGCUGAGCUGGAAACGCACCCAGUCAGUGCGCUGAGAGUCCUGCAGUCUGCUCCUUCAUCCAGGAUUAAAUAAGCGUGGGUUCAGUGGUCAGCAGGAAAAACCAAAGCAGACAAAGCAGUGAAGUCUCGUGUUUGGAGGAACUACUGCGCCGACGGUUAAAGCUGUUUCCCCCCAAACAAACCGCGAUGCACAUGAUGCUGGCAGGAGGCGGCGCUGCGUCAGAGGACGGUGAAUGUCUGAAGCCUGCUGCGGUGUUCAGGUCGCUGAUCGGACCUUCUUCUGCCUCCCUGCGUGUCCAGACAUGAGCCCGCAGCAGGUUCAGGACCCCGCAUCCCCUCUAUGAACACCGAGCCUCCGGAAGCAGCAGCAGCAGCACAACAGGAGCCCUGUGCUCCCUGCGCCCUGUAGUGGAGGGAAAAGUGGAAAUAAAAGGACGGCUGUUUGGUAGAAAUGACAAAGCCUCCGUUAUUUGCUCUGAAUCAGCGCUCGGACCUCAAAAACAGGCGCAGGGAGCCUUUAUUAAAGCGCAGCGCCUGUCCUCAUUGUGCGCAUUUGCUGCUGCAGCUGUCAAGCGGAUCACGUUUCACACUGAAGCCAGUCAUAUAGAUACAGUACACUGUAAAAAAAACAACAGCUACAACCUGUUUUUACACACAUUUAUUAUGAAUUAAUGCAUUUUUGUUAUCAUACCAAGAGAACAUAUCUGUAAAAUACAGGGGAAAAAACCUUCUCCAGCAAACAGUAAUAUUCAGAGAAUGUUUGGGGAACGUUUGAUGGAGGUUCCUGUUUGCAGUGAAAUUGGCUGUAAUAAUACAAUACAAAGGUCUUUCACAGGGAACCCUCAGGGAACGUACAGGAUGUUCACGAAGGUUCCCUCAUGGAAAUCGGCAAACAUUCAGGGAUUAUUUCCUUAAAUUUCCUGUUGGCUGUGAAGUCUCCCAGUAUCUGAACAUUAUAAUAAAAGAGUCCAUCUCUUUAUAACAAACUAUACGAUUGUUUGAACUGUUUAAAAUUUAGUACAAUUGCUUGUUAUCAAUGUAAAACCACAGUAAAGAGUUGUUCUCCAACCGUAAAAGAAAAUCGAUAUUUAUGUAAAGAAUGUUGGUGAAUAUGUUGAAUGAUCACGUGAAGUAAAAGCUUAGAUCUGUGCAUACACUAACUGUACACUUUUAUAUACGGUGCAAAAGAACUGAAAAUGUGGCGGCAAGAGCACCAGAAAAAAUCCAUUUGAAAACGCCAAACAUAACAGCUAAUAUCUGUAGAAUAAUGACAUAUUUUUACUUGACUUAAAUACACUAAAACUAUGUGAUUUUUAUGGUUACAUAUUGUGAAUGAACUAAUUAUUUGUAAAACUUUAAAAAAUAUUCAUAAGGGGGACGGUAUGUAUAGUUUUGGUUGCUUUUUAUUUUUCAUUUUAUUUUGAAACUACUUGUGAAUUAAUACUUAUUUUUUACUUUAUUGUUUUUUUUUAAACAAAGCAGCGAAAAUCUAGAGACUCUUUUUGAAUACCUAAGAGGCAUAGUUUGUCUGUAAAUAACUAAUAACAGGAUAUGUGUAUGUCUGUAUGAAAUGCAAUUUUACCAUCAAAUGUUGUAUAAGAACAGAUUUUCCUUUUGCAAAAGUACAGAUUCUUGAUGUUAGGUACAAUUCUGGUUUGCUUUUUAUUUUUUAUUUUUUAGUUAGCAUGUAAAUUAAUUAAUUUUUUUUCUCUUUGAUUUUACAAGUUAUCAGUAAUUUACCAAAACUGUAACAGUCUGUGAAAUAGGAAGAAAUUGUUCAAACAAUGACAGUUAACUGUCAAAAAUCUGUUCAUUUUUUACACUGUAGGGUUCAUUACAUGUAGUUUGUUACUUUUCUUUAUGUGCAGAACUCACAGCUGUAACAGUGAGAUCUCACACAUAAACAACACAGAUACAGUUCAGAUUAUUUAACUUUGAACUACUAUAAAUGUGAAGGAUAAGAACAUUUAUUGGCAGAUUGCCUCCAUUGAUAAACUGUUAAUAUUAAAUUGUGGAAUGUAUAUACAUUUAUACAGUAUUUUCUAGAUUUUAUGAGACUAAAGAGGUGUUUUCUGUGAAAAUAAAAUAUGUAACUCUAUUUGAAAUUACAGGAAAAAUAUACAGGGGGAAACCUGUGAAUUUAGUUAUUUAUCACUGAGUUAUGUUUAGGAUUUUACUGGAAUUUGAUGAAAACGCUUUGGAAACAUGCUGCCAGACAAACAGUUUUUUCACUUCUGUUUUUUUACAGUGUGGAGAAACCAGACUUGUGCAAGAUCAGCUGUGCGUCUGUCUGUGGUCACGAUGUAUAAUUUACUCUCCAAGGUGACAGACGGUCUCUGUUGCAAGACCUUCUUGUUUUUUUUUAUUUUUUAAAUGUGCUUUUAGCUCCGUGGGGCAGCAGGAGGAAUUUUGUAGACGGACUUAAAACCACAAUAAUAUAGAUCUGAAAGCAGUGACUAAUGCAGAAAACCAACACUGAAAAUGAUGUUUGGGCUCAACAGAAUAAAACAAUCAAUUUGUAUCAAACUUUCUGAGUUAUGAACUAAUGAAAUUAUCUUCAGCUAACAAACUAGACUAAAAUACAGGAAUUAGCUUCUCCUCAAAGCUGUUUUAAUUCAAACUUAUUUAAUGAUGACGGUGAAAACUGUAAAAUCUCAUUUAUCUUUCAGCUUUGGUGACAGUAGUUUGAUUGUAUUAAUUAGAAUCUACAUAUUGUCUCUUUAAACUCAGUUUCCAGUUAGAGCUAAAGUGCAGCAAUUACACUCGCUGCUGUUUUAGUUUCAUGUUUCAGCUGCAACUUAAUUGUUGUUUUCUUCCGGUGAGAUUACAGAGUAAAGAAGAUAAAAGCGCGUCUAAAGGUGAACUUUUUUUAUACAAAAAAUGUGAAGCUCCCCUUUAAGUAAUGUUUAUCUAAAUCUGUAAUUAAUUUAUUGAUUUGAUCUUGGACAGGUCCCUUUAUAGAGUGUUUAUUAUAUUUAGUGUGUGGGGUUUCCUGUUUCUCUAACUCCACAGGUAUGUUCUUUAUUACUUGGAUGUGUUUUUUCUCAUGCAAGUCAAUGUCCUAAUAUCUUAAAAUAAAACAGCGAAACGGAAA